AAACCCUGUGAGGGGAGUGAAAUAGAACCUGAAACCGUGUGCCUUCAAGUAGUUAGAGCCCGUUAAUGGGUGAUAGCGUGCCUUUUGUAGAAUGAACCGGCGAGUUACGAUUACGUGCGAGGUUAAGUUGAGAAGACGGAGCCGCAGCGAAAGCGAGUCUGAAUAGGGCGAAUUAGUACGUGGUCGUAGACCCGAAACCAGGUGAUCUACCCAUGUCCAGGAUGAAGGUGAGGUAACACUUACUGGAGGCCCGAACCCACGCACGUUGAAAAGUGCGGGGAUGAGGUGUGGGUAGCGGAGAAAUUCCAAUCGAACCUGGAGAUAGCUGGUUCUCUCCGAAAUAGCUUUAGGGCUAGCCUCGCGAUUAAGAAUACUGGAGGUAGAGCACUGUUUGGACUAGGGGGGCAUCUCGCUUUACCGAAUUCAGACAAACUCCGAAUGCCAAUGAUUUAUACGCGGGAGUCAGACUGCGAGUGAUAAGAUCCGUAGUCAAAAGGGAAACAGCCCAGACCACCAGCUAAGGUCCCAAAGUAAUCGUUAAGUGGAAAAGGAUGUGGCGUUGCUUAGACAACCAGGAUGUUGGCUUAGAAGCA
This 593-nucleotide ribosomal RNA is filed under the name Acinetobacter baumannii. RNAcentral's name for it is "partial 23S ribosomal RNA". It matches the Rfam family "Bacterial large subunit ribosomal RNA", at positions 522 to 1114 of the family's 2925-position model. The record is from RNAcentral. Lineage: Bacteria; Pseudomonadati; Pseudomonadota; Gammaproteobacteria; Moraxellales; Moraxellaceae.